UAUCCUGGAAGCCCUGACCAGCCUCGUCCGCAGCCAUUUUCUACCUCGCUUUUGCCUUCGCGCUUGCCGUGCGGCCCGCACUUAAUAAGAAGGGCGCUCGCUAGGAUGGACCAGCGAGGUAGUAACUGCAUUUAGCGAUGCGUGACCGUGGCCCACGUUCAGCAGGAAGGGCGGCCUUGUGAGUCAGGCAUUGAGGUUGGAGCCUAAUGUGAUUAGCCUGCGACGCAGAAAGAGAAGGCCCGCUAGUGACGCCAUCUCUCUCGGACUAAGGGGAAUUCUGUGGGAGGUUGUCGCGGGAAUGGAUGGGGGCUGCGGCCCGGUUGAGGGGUGCGCGGAGGAAACUUCCAGGUGAAGGCAGCGCCCAACUGCCACCCUCCUUCUCCUUGAUGGUCAGCGAGUUCUGGCUCCAGCUCUCGUACACCCACUCUGUCUCAGGGGAAACCCGCAUCCAGAUGACUUGGGUUUUUGGCAAGGUGUAACGUCGCCAGAUCUCCGGCAAUAUGUCUGUUGGGCUUAGGACAUCGAGCUUCCCUGCCUGGAAGCGACAUAUCCUGGAUGAACUGAAGCGACGAGACCAGUUACAAAGACAGGCCUUUGAAGAGAUAAUCUUGCAAUAUAACAAGCUCCUGGAGAAGUCAGAUUUCCAUUCAGUGCUGGCUGACAAGCUACAAGUGGAAAAGUAUGAUUUGCCAAACCGGCAUGAGAUCAGCCCAGGACAUGAUGGUGCAAGAAAUGAUGCUCAUCUUCAAGAAGUAGCUCAAUUAAGGAUUAAACAUCAAGAGGAGUUGACAGAGCUGCACAAGAAACGGGGCGAGUUGGCCCAAUCUGUGAUUGAUUUAAACAAUCAAAUACAACAGAAGGACAGAGAAAUACAAACAAAUAAUGUCAAAAUUGCAGAGUAUUUACAGAAGAUAUCUGAACUGGAAACAGAGUGCCAUGAUUUGUACAACAAGCUUCAAGAUCUCGAACGAGCUAAUCAGACUCUUAAGGAUGAAUAUGAUGCUCUUCAAAUCACCUUUACUGCUCUUGAAGAAAAAUUGAGAAGAACCACUGAAGAUAACCAAGAAUUGGUAACCCGUUGGAUGGCAGAAAAGGCUCAAGAAGCUAAUCGGCUCAAUGCAGAAAAUGAGAAGGAUUUAAGGAGAAGGCAAGCUAGGCUUCAGAAAGAACUAGCAGAAGCUGCUAAAGAACCACUGCCAAUUGAACAGGAUGAUGAUAUUGAAGUACUCACAGAUGAAACCUCCGAUCCAGCUGAGGAGACAUCUCCAGUUCGGGCUGUCACCCGGACAACAAGUAAGCGACUCUCCCAGCCCACUGGAGGCCUUCUGGAUUCUAUCACUAAUAUCUUUGGGAGGCGUUCUUUGUCCUCAUGUGCUAUCCCUCAAGAUAGUACCGAUGUACAUCCUACUGCAAGCAAAGAGGUCCGAGUCCCCAACACAGCAUUGUGUGUCUUUGAUGCUCAUGAUGGGGAGGUUAAUGCAGUCCAGUUCAGCCCUGGCUCUCGUUUAUUAGCAACAGGAGGCUCAGACCGGAAAGUCAAAAUUUGGGAGGUUUUUGGUGAUAAUUGUGAAUUGAAAGCCGCCCUAUCUGGCAGUAAUGCAGGAAUUACUAGUGUAGAGUUUGAUAGUGCUGGUUCUUAUUUAUUAGCGGCUUCAAAUGACUAUGCCAGUAGGAUCUGGACAGUGGAUGAUCAUCGGUUACGGCACACGCUCACGGGGCAUAGUGGAAAAGUUUUAUCAGCCAAAUUCCUUCUGGACAAAGCUCGCAUUGUAUCUGGGAGUCAUGACAGAACCCUCAAGCUAUGGGACCUGCGCAGCAAAGUCUGUACAAAGACGGUGUUUGCUGGCUCCAGCUGCAAUGAUCUUGUCUGCACAGAACAGUGUGUAAUGAGUGGACACUUUGAUAAGAAAAUUCGCUUUUGGGAUAUUAGAACUGAAUGUGUGGUACGGGAAGUGGAAUUACUGGGUAGGAUUACAGCUCUAGAUCUCAACCCUGAGAGAACAGAGCUUAUUACUUGUUCUCGGGAUGAUCUGUUGAAAAUUAUAGAUCUCAGAAGCAACACUGUCAAACAGACAUUCAGUGCUCCAGGAUUUAAAUGUGGGUCUGAUUCGACUAGAGUUGUAUUCAGCCCUGAUGGAAAUUAUGUUGUGGCUGGCUCAGCAGAUGGAUCACUGUAUAUAUGGAAUGUGCUCACUGGAAAAGUGGAGAGGACACUUUCCAAGCAUCACAGCAAUCCUAUCAAUGCUGUGGCAUGGUCACCAUCUGGAGCCCACGUGGUCAGUGUGGAUAAAGGAAACAAGGCUGUGCUGUGGUCUGAAUUUUGACCUAAAAGUGCAAACACUAGCUUGCCAAAAAAAACCCAAAACAAAACACAUGGGAAGGCAAUGAUCUGUUUCUGCCUACAGAGGGCAGAAGUCCCAUAUCUGGCUCCCACCCAAGUUUAUUUGCUGAGUGCAUAAGUUUGCCUUUAGCAAAGAAUUAUUGAUGCAUCCAUGAGGAAGAAAAGCAGAUCCUGAUUACAGUAUGUUGCUGCUGUCUAACUUUCAUAAAGAUUUGGGUGUAGAAUUGGUCAUUUUUAAAAUGUACCAUCUGCACACUGAAAAGGUUCUCACACCAGAUAGCAGUGCUCCUGAAACAAUAUUCUAUGGCAUUUCACUUUUGAGUGCUGUAGCAAAAGUUCCUGUAUGUUCUGACUUUUUGCAUGUAUUCACACAUGUGUCUUCUUCUCUGAGCUAGCUAAGAUACAAAGUGAAGGAUCCUAAGGCAUAGAAUGGUGGAGUCUGAAGUGUAAGCUUAUUUGAGUAAGUCCAUGAAUUUGGCAGUGGCAUCUACAGGACCUCUAGUACUUAGCAAACCACAGCUUCUUGUAUCAGCUUGAUUAAUGGCAGGCAGAAUUGGCUGAAAAACAGACGUAUCCUCCAAAGGUUAUCCAGGUAGCAGUGAUACAGAAGCAUUUUAAUUUGACCCAGUACAUUUUGGGUUUUAAUUGUGAGAUAGAGCAAGAGGUUCUGUUGUAAUGAAGAAUGUAUGAUUAGCAUGACUUCAGCACAAAAACCAAAUACACAGCAACUUCUGCUAUCCAGCAGUUUUGUAUUGAGGGCAAAGGACACGAAAGGAAAUAAACACCUGAAGCUGAAUGUCCUGGUGCUGGCAAAUCCGUAUCAUUUGCCUCUGACUUAAAUGUGCAAUAUUCUUUCUGUGUUGGAGCUCUCUCUUUCUCUGCCAUGGAACAGGCUUGGGGGCCUGUAACCUUUGGUGGUUAAAUGCACAAUAUGGUUUGAGGAGAAUUAAUUUGUGGCAUUGAACAUUCAUCCAGCCAAAUACUUUUCCACAUUCAGUGGGCUGUGAUACAAGCCACCAGCGUUAAAUUGCCUUUUAAUUUGCACUUUAAUUUUUCUUCCUUCCACAACUUGUUUUGUAUUGCUUGUAUUGGAGGGCAGGUGAGCAGGAUUCUUUUGGGUGUGGGGUCUCAUUAGAAGACCCCUUCAUUUUAACAACUUAUGCAGAGAAAAAUGGAAAGUACAUGGGACAAACUUUAUUUAUUGUACUAAUCUGUCCAUUAGUACUUGACUGAUUAUAAAUAAACCAGUAUCCUGCUUCUAAUUCUGCAUUGCUUUUCCUUAUUUUUUUUAAUCUGCUUUGGGUACAGACAUAGGGAUGAGAAGAGAGAAGCAGUUUGAAGAGAAGACUAAAGGCUCUCUAUAAAGUUGCAACUGCAAAUAUACUUGCAAAACCUACAGUGGGAUGCUGGGGCAGAGGGAAGAAGGCAUCUGUAAAAAAGGGCCAGCAGUACUGUGGGGACAAUAAGAAACAGUAUUGAAAAUGGACGUGCCAAUAUUGUAAUGCCCUUACAUUAAUCAGUAGUGUGACUGCACUACUGUUCUGGUUGCUGCACCUCAAAAAGGAUAUAGUGGAGCUGGAAGUGGUUCAUAGGACUAAGAUGAUCGAGGUGCUGGAAAGUCUUAACAUUACUUCCAACUUGGCUUGCCCUGUGCCUUUCUAAACCCUUUGGUGAUGCUUUCCUGAUGAAAGGCUUGCUAAACUGGAUAUUUCCACAUACUUCAUAUAAAUGAAUGGGAGCACAGCGGAACCAGUUGUAAACAUACCUGAUGAUUUUAAAAGAGUGCCAUCCAUAAUAGAGGGUUAAACAUGAAAUCUGAUCGGUGUAAACAUAGUUGGGGCAAUGGCUUCUGUAGGCUCCCACAAUAUUACUUUUGUGUGUUUUCAAUUUAAAACAUUGUCUUUCUUUAACAUGCAGCUUCAGGAGGAGAAUAGAGAAAUAUGUUGGUUUUUCUCAUUUAGCCAAAGGAUUUUUUAAAAUGUUAUUUUACAUUUGUUCAGAUGAACCAUGCUACUACUGAGCAAUGAAGUUUAGUGAGUUAGAGGUGUUGUUCUCCUCCCAGAGCAGAAAUCUUUAUUUUGUAGUCUGCCUAAACCUUAUAGGGCAUCCCAGAUCUCCUUCAAAAGUUGUCACUGGAUUAUAAUUGUUAAGAUGACAGCUGGAGAAAAUUAUGAAAUCCUUGGAAAGUAAUUACAGUUAUUUAUUCAAUCAAAAUUUGCUUUAUCUUGACCUGACUCCCAAAAUGUGCAACUUCUUGUCCUAGAGUAAAAGAACGCUCUUUGGUUCUUUAUCUUUUAGUGUUAGUAGCUGCUUUUUCCAAGUUAUCCCAUAGUGUGCUAUGAAAACUAAUAACAUCUAUAAUGUGAAACUUAAUGGUCUUAGGAGGGGGACAUUGACAUUUAAUAGCAUUUCAUGAACAUAUAUUGCUCUGGACCGUGCUUUAGUCAUAAGAACUGCAGCAUUUUCAUGUCUCUCCAGAAAGAAAUCCUGAGAAUUCUGUCUUGAGUUUCUUCAUAUACAUGGUAACUGAUAUAAUUUUAGUACUAGUCAAACUUUUGCAUCUGUUUGAAAUAAUUUAAUGCCUUAUAUGCCAAAAAUGUUUUGGCAUGUAUGCCUGGCAAAGAAAAGAGAUGUCUUCCAUAUGCCCCACUGACCUCAAGAAUAUAUGCCCAUGACAGAUUCUGAUGCUGAAUCAGUGAGAUGAAGGCUUAUCCAAGAUUAUGCUUAGUCUCCAUAGAAGAACACUGUAGGUGUUGUGUAAUACGUGAGUUUACACAACUCAUGUAUUACACAAUGUUUAGUCAGAUGCCCUGAAUGAUACAAAACAACACAAGUGCUUUUCAUGAAAUACAAAAUCCACAGCGUGGCAAUAUUUUCUAGGAGCAAUGAAAAUGCUAUAAAAAAGGUGCAAGCUUUUUAGUUCCCCAAGACAGACUAGGUGUUGCAAAAUAAUGAAGAAAGCAUGUCUUCUUCGUUCUUAUAGUUUUCAUUAUUACAGUUUAAGUUUGCUCUGAAAUUUAAAAUUCCAACAAAUAUUCAAUUAUACAUUACAUCAUAGGGAAAAGAAACAUUGAUACCAAUAAUUAUGGAAUCAUGAUUCUAUAGCUCAGUUUGUCUUCUCUUAGGUAAAUGCUGAGAGCAAAAGUAAAGAACAUACACAUAUUUGCUCCCAAAAUGGUAACUCAAUAUACCAGCUGCACUGGCUCCAAAUUGGCUUCCGGGUGCAACGCAAGGUGUUGGUUGUCGCCUUUAAAGCCUUGCAUGGCAUAGGAUGGGUUACGUGAGAGAUUGCUUUUCUCCAGGGUAUGUGCCUGCCCCACACACUCUGAUAGGGAGAGUGCACUUCAGGGCCUUUAAUUGAAACUGCCAUCUUGUGGGAGCCAGAAGAUGCUCCUUUUUGGUGAAGGCCCCUGUCUUAUAGAAUGACCUUCCUCCUGACGUAUGAUUGGCCCAGACCCUGCUGGUUUCUCUAGGUUGCUGGUUGACCCUGCCCAGACCUGGCUGUUUCUCUGGACCUUUGCUUUGUGAAGUACUGUACUGGAGUCCCAGAUGGUGUUAAAGGCUGUUUGGAUUGCUAUUUUAUUAUUUUAUUGCUUCAUUACUUUCUGUAGGUACAUGUAUUGUGGUUUUGUAUUCUUUUAGUUAGGUUUUAUUGAUUUUUUUUAAGAGUCCCUUGGUUGAGUUGGGCAAUCAUAUAAAUGUUUUAAAUAAAUAAAUACCAUUGCUAGUUGCUAAGAAGCAAUGACUUAAGUCAUUAAGUCUUUUUUGGGAGAAAUUAAAAUUGCAGCUAUUGAGUAUAACUGAUGUUUUUGUUGUUGUUCAGCCACAUUAUGGUUGAAUUAUAGCUUGUUUAAAGUACUAUAAACAAUCUUGGAAUAAAAUGUUGAUGCAAAAGAUUUUCCCCUGAGCUCUUCCUAUCCAUUGUAAUGUCUGUGCAUUGAAGAUGCUUUAAAGUAGCAUAUAUAAUUGCUACUUUAGCACAUUUAUUCCAUUUUUCAGUAUACAACAAGUUGUCAGUAAUAAAGAAGCAAUCUGUGUCUUUCUCUUUUGUUUAAUUGUUAGGGUUGUUUUAACUUCAUAACACAUUAUUUGAACUUUCAUUACAUAUUUGUUUCAUUUCCCACACCUGGAAUAUAAUAAGUAACCAUAUUAAGAGGUACACAAGCAGUCAUGCAUAUAUACCCCUGUACUAUGUUGUCCAAGAAAAAGAGGAAAAUUGAUUUUCUUGUACAAACCUAUGCAUACAUUUUAGCAAACUUUAUGUGACUG
Non-coding RNA from Python bivittatus (Burmese python), 6610 nucleotides. The record is from RefSeq and is a predicted model, not a curated record. Lineage: Eukaryota; Metazoa; Chordata; Lepidosauria; Squamata; Pythonidae.